AGCAGCCGCGGUAAUUCCAGCUCCAAUAGCGUAUAUUAAAGUUGCUGCAGUUAAAAAGCUCGUAGUUGAAUUUCGGGACUAAUAUGUCGGUCGUGCCUCGGUACGUACUGGUAUUUUUGGUUUCUCCCUUCUGACGAACCUUGAUGUCAUUAAUUUGGUGUCUUGGGAAAUCAGGACUGUUACUUUGAAAAAUUAGAGUGUUUAAAGCAGGCUCACGCUUGAAUACAUUAGCAUGGAAUAAUGAAAUAGGACGUUUGAUUCUAUUUUGUUGGUUUCUAGGAUCGACGUAAUGAUUAAUAGGGAUAGUUGGGGGCAUUAGUAUUCAAUUGUCAGAGGUGAAAUUCUUGGGUUUAAUUGAAGACUUAACUACUGCGAAAGCAUUUGCCAAGGAUGUUUUCAUUAAUCAGGAACGAAAGUUAGGGGAUCGAAGACGAUCGGAUACCGUGUAGUCUUAACCAUAAACUAUGCCGACUAGGGAUCGGAUGAUGUUAAUUUUUUAAUGACUUCA
This 508-nucleotide ribosomal RNA is filed under the name uncultured Glomeraceae. RNAcentral's name for it is "SSU rRNA". It matches the Rfam family "Eukaryotic small subunit ribosomal RNA", at positions 569 to 1082 of the family's 1831-position model. Lineage: Eukaryota; Fungi; Glomeromycota; Glomeromycetes; Glomerales; Glomeraceae. The record is from RNAcentral.